CUGGAACCUUGAACUUCAGGAUGGCACAGGAAAGUGCAGACCAGGAAGCUCUUGGGCUCUCAGUUGAGCUGCCCUCUUCCCCACAAAGGUCUUUUAAAGAUGGGGGCACAGAUGAAGAGGAGCAACCACCACAAGGACAAGGAUCCAAGCCCAGUCCACAUGAGGAGAAGUCCCAGGAAAGGAAGCUCAGAGGCAGAAGCAGCGUUGCCAGGGCAGGUAAGUUCAGACUCACCCGGAGCGAGAAGGUCACAGGGUGCUGUGGCACAGUCUUCUCUGGGAGACAGGGGCCCUGAGACCAGAUGGGUCAGCAGCACCUCAGAGAUGCUGGGGUACGGGGACCAGAGGGGAAGGGAGCACUGGUGGGAGGCGCUGCUCCCUGUGUCCUGGGUAGACCUGGGCUGUGGCUGUGCAUUUGGAGGCAGGCACUCCAACUCCCUGUGUUUUGCAGAAUCAGAGUCCAGCUGUGACGGGGUGAGCUCCAGGAAGAGGACAAUCAGUUCUGAGGACAGCAGCCACACGGGGACAGGUAGCAUCGUGCUUUCUCUCCCUAGAGGGUCAGGACCAGGGAGCUUAUCCAAGGUUGGGAAGGGAGGGGUUGUCAGAGAUUGAGAGCAGUUUCGAGAUCCCAAGAGCGUGUGAGGGGGAGGGUGGGUGCUGCCUGCGUUCCUGCUGGAGUCCAUUGUGGGGAAGGAAGUGCAGGAUUCUAGCCUUCAACUUGUUUUCGGUAUGCUUUUUCUGUACUUGUGGUGUGAAUUCUUCAUUAACAUAUCAAAGGAGAAAAAAAUCUUUGUAAAAUAUCUAAAGCAACAUCAGAAAACCUUGUGUUUUGCAUUCCUUUUUUUUUGUAUGUACUUAGCUGUACUGUAAGUAGUUGUUUAGUAGGAGAUAGUUAAAAAGGCCAAAGAUAGGGGCCAGCAAUGUGGUAGAGUGGGCUAAGUGUCUGCCUGUUGUGCCAGAAUCCCAUAUGGGUACCACGUUGGAGUCCCAGAUGCCCCUCUUCUAAACCAGCUCUCUGCUAUGGCCUGGAAAAGCAGUAGAACAUAGCCCAGAUGCUUGGGCCUCUUCACCUGCAUGGGAGACCUGCAAGAAACUUCUGGCUCUCAGCUACUGCCAUUUAGGCCAUUUCCUGAGGGACCAGCAGGUGGAACCUUUCUGUUUCUCCCUCUGUCUGUCUAUAAUUCUGUCAUCAAAUAAAUAAAUAAAAUCCCCUCCA
This 1213-nucleotide long non-coding RNA is filed under the name Oryctolagus cuniculus (rabbit). RNAcentral describes it as "lncRNA (ENSOCUG00000031927.1)". Lineage: Eukaryota; Metazoa; Chordata; Mammalia; Lagomorpha; Leporidae. The record is from RNAcentral.